Molecule: long non-coding RNA, 16047 nt
Filed under: Homo sapiens (human)
Lineage: Eukaryota; Metazoa; Chordata; Mammalia; Primates; Hominidae
Description: non-protein coding LCMT1-AS1:9
Source: RNAcentral
GGAGAAGUCGCCCGGUUUCUGCUUGCUGGUCGCGAAAUUUUAUAGCUAUAAUUAACUCAGGGCGGAACAGCUAGCAGAAUCCUCAGCGUUCGGGCAAAGGGCAGAGAAUCCAGCCAGAAGCAACAUGUAGAUCUAAUGACCUUCUCCAGGAGUCGAGGACCCACUACCUCGCUGAAUUCUCAGAGUCAAAAUGCGUCUCUACCUGCUGGUCCCAGAACAGUCCCCUGCUGCUGCAUUGAAUGAAUCUCAUCUCACUUCCUCGAGUCAGCCCUACCUAUAUUUGAUGAUCACAAACCUUAUCCUUACGUUGCCAGCAGUAACAUUCUGCAUCCCUCACCCACUCCACUGUGUCCUUUUCCUCCCACUGAUCUUCACUCUGCCUUUUCUAGGGGAACUCUGAACAGUAUUUCUGAGAAGGGGAUGAAGAUCGUCUCCCAAGUAAAUAUGUUGAGUUUGACUGGGCACCGUGGCCCACACCUGUAAUCCCAGCACUUUGGGAGGCCAAGGCGGGCAGAUCACUUGAGGCCAGGAGUUCGAGACCACCCUGGCCAACAUGAUGAAACCCUGUCUCUACUAAAAAUACAAAAAUUGGCCCGGCAUGGUGGCAUGCACCUGUAAUCACAGCUACUCAGGAGGUUGAGGCAGGAAAAUCACUUGAACCUGGGAAGUGGAGGUUGCAGUGAGCCAUGAUCAUACCACUGCACUCCAGCCUGGGUGACAGAGUGAUACUCCGUGUCAAUAAUUAAAUAAGUAAAUAAAUAAGUUGAGGUCAACUUUCAAAUGAUCGUCAUGAGAAAGCUACACAGUAUUAAGUAAGUGUGGUUUAGCCAGAAGAAAAAGAACCAGGUAGAAUUCACACCCAGCUCUCGGUAGAUGGCAGAUUUCACUUUAGGGAACUGCUUUCCUUUGACCCCCUCCCCACUUGCUUUCUUGGCCUGGGAUCCUCACUCCAGCAUGUCGUGCAGUCUUCAGAAUGCGAUAUCCUUUUCCUUACGACUCUUCUAGCAAUUAAUGUAAUUUGCCUGAACAUUUAAAAAAUGACCUCUCAUAAUUUCAUAAUCUGAAUCUUUAUGUGUCUUUCUUGAUCCCCAGGGCAUAGAGAAGGUUACCUGGCCCAGACUAGAUGUGCAGUAAAUGGUUUUUGUAUGUGUGAAUGAAUGGAAGACUGAAGUUAGUUAUUAUAGAUGAGAUAUUAUGGGGCCAUUCCGAGUCCGGUAUUCAAGGAGUUUGCAAAGUUGCAGAUGACAAGUUUGCUAAUGUGUGCUGAGUGUUCGUGCCUAGUAGCAUGUUAAGUGGUUUGCUUGGGUUGUUUCAUUCAGUCCUCACAGCGGACUCGUGAAUUAAGUGCUGUUAUUAUCACGUUUUUGCAGAUGAGGAAACUGAGGCUCAAAGAAGAUAAUGUGCCCAAGGUCACCUCGCUAGGAAAGAGUGGAGCUGAGAUUUAAACUGUGACUUUAAGCCCAAGUUCAAGGCUUCUUACUAGUUUUAACUACAUUCCCAUACCCCUUUUAAUCAAUCAUGUAAAUAAAAUCUUAAUUCUUUUAAAAAAUUAAUAUGUGUUUCAGCUUGUCCUGUAGAGAAGACUAAUACUUACAAAUGGGAAAUAUUCGUCAAGCUUUAUUUUUUCUAGUUUGUCUUAUGAAAUUAAGUUUUUCAGCCUUUCCCAAUAUAAAGCUAUAUUUUAUAUUAAAUAUGCUUUUUAUUUAUUUUUUUGAGACGGAGUUUUGCGCUUUUUGCCCAGGCUGGAGUGCAAUGGCGCAAUCUCAGCUCACUGCAACCUCUGCCUCCCAGGUUCAAUCGAUUCUCCUGUCUCAGCCUCCCAAGUAGCUGGGAUUACAGGCGUGUGCCACCAAGCCCGGCUAAUUUUUGUACUUUUUAGUAGAGACAGGGUUUCACCAUAUUGUUCAGGCUGGUCUUGAACUCCUGACCUCGUGAUCCACCCACCCUUGGCCUCCCAAAGUGCUGGGAUUACAGGCAUGAGACACUGCGCCCAGCCAAGUCUUAGUUAUUUCUACAUGUAAGUAUUUCAUGAUCCGUUUGUGAUUUGGACAUCAAAUGCUGAGCAUAAUGCUUCGCUGACCUCACCUGAGACCUGCAUCCACUGAAUUUUUACUGUAUGUGCUUAGGGCCGAAUGUAAUUAAAGUCUUGUUUAUUUACUUCUUUUUUUUUUUUUUUUUUUGUAAAUAAGGUCUCCCGUUACGCAAGCUGGAGUGCAGUGGCAGGUUAAUAGCUCAUUGUAGCCUCAAAUGUAGCCUUCCCAGUAGCUAGUGAAGGCCUUUUUAGAGGGGCUCUUGCUUUGAACAGUAGCAAAUAUAUAUUUGCCAUUUUUGUAGUGAGUGUCUGCAUUUGUGCAGUAAAUGAGCUCAUGAGUAAACUGAGGAGUACAUGGACUCAUCUCCUCCUCUUUCUUUUCUUUUUUUUUUGGUUCAACAUAUUUCUGUUGAACAAAUGUACAUACACACUGAACAGCUAUAUCCUGUAGUUCAGUAUAUUUCUGUUGAAUGAAUGAGUCUCUACCACUUGUUUAUAAAUAUAAACAUUUAUGUAAUUUUAAUAGUGAAUAACAUACAUGUUUUGUAACUUGCUCUUUUCAUGUCAGCAUAUACAGAUCUGCAUCGUUAUUUAUAAUUGCUUUAUUGUACUCCUUUGUGGAAAUUCCCCUCUAUUUAAUCUAUUUAAUCUUAAUAGAGGGGAAAUUCCCCUCCAUUUAAUCUGUUCCCUACUGAUAAUCACUUAGAUUUUUGCCUUUUUAUUUUUUGUUUUGUUUUGUUUUCUUUUGAAACAGGGUCUCACUCUGUUGCCCAGGCUGGAGUACAGAGACUCGAUCACAGCUCACUGCAGCCUCAGACUCCUGGGCUUAAGUUGCCCAGGCUGGUCUUGAACUGAGCUCAAGCAGUCUGCCCACCUCAGCUUCCCAAAGUGCCGGGAUUACAGGUGUGAGCCACUGUGCCCAGCCUAUGUUUUUAUAUUAAACAGUGUUAUAGCAAAUACAAGUAUAUGUGCAUGUUUGCAGGAAUCGCUAGUGCAGAGUUUGCACAUUAUGAAUAGCCACUGCCAGGCUUUUCAAGUCCUUUUUUUACCAAUUUACAGUUUCACUGAAUUGGGUGAGGAAAUUUCCUGCCCUACACCCUCUGUCUCACUUUGUUUUGUGCUGCUGUAACAGAAUAUCUGAGACUGGGUAAUUUCUAAAGAACAAAGAUUUAUUCUUACAGUUCUCAACGCUGGGAAGUCCAAGGUCAAGGGGCCCACAUCUGGUGAGGGCCUUCUUGCUGCAUCAUCCCAUGGUGGAAGGUGGACGGGCAAGAGGGCAUGCUUGCCUGCAGGAGAGGAAGAGGGGGGAAGGGGCCUGUACUUAUUCUUUUAUCAGGAACCCCUCCUGCGAUAACUAACGCUUUCAUGAGGGCAGGGCCCCGUGACCCAUCCCCUCUUAAAAAUCCGCCCCCUCAACACUGCUGGAUGGGGAAUGAAGUUUCCAACACAUGAACUUUGGGGAACACAGUCAAACCAUAGCAUUCUGCCCCAGCCCCCCAAAUUCAUGUCCUCUCACAUGCAGAGUACAUUCAUUCCAUCCCAACAGGUUUAAUGUUUUCAUUUGUUCCAGCACCAAGUCAAGAGUCCAGAGUCUCAUUUGAAUCAGAUACAGGUGAGACUUUGGGCAAGAUUUCUCCUAAGGCAGAUUCCUCUCCGCCAUGGGCCUGGGAAAUUAAUGUGCUUCCAAAAUAUGAUGGUGGGUCAGGCAUAGGACAGCAAUUCCCAUUCCAAAGGGAUUCGUUUCCUGUUGUUGCUGUAACAAAUCACCACAAAGUUAAUGGCUUGAAGAAUACAAAUGGAUUAUCUCACAUUUCCGGAGAUCAGAAGUUCGAACCAGAUCUGCCUGCACUACAAUCAAGGUGGCAGCAGGGCUGAUGAAUGCCUUCCUGGACACGUGAGGGGAGCAUCUGCCUCCUCACCUUUUCCAGCUUCUUGGGUCUGCCCAUGUUCCUUGGCCUCUUCCUGCAUUUGUCAAAGCCAGCAGCAUUUAUGCUGUGCCUUUCUUCCAAAGUUGUGUCUUCACGGACUUCCUGGGCAACUAUGAAGGACCUCUGUGAUUACACUGGGCCUGUGGGGAUAAUCCACGCUAAUCUCCCUUUAUGCUGAUUAGCAACUUUCAUUCCAUCUCCAACCUUAAUUCCCCUUUGCUAUGUAAUCUAACACAUUCACAGGUUCUGGAGAUUCAGAAAUGGACAUUACUGGGGAGGGGAGAGCAUUUUUCUGCCUACUCUAGAUCCAAAUGUCAACCCAAGGCUGAACAGCCCUGAUUUCAAAGGACAUAUGCACACAUGACACAUAUCCACACGUACAUGCAUUAUACACACAUACCUGUACACAUUUAGACAGAUAUGUGGAGCAUCUUUACAGGUCAGAACACAAAUAUACACCUCUACCUCCUUUUUAUGGCUGCAGAGUAAGCCAUUCUGUGGAUAUACCAUGUUCUACUUAACUGCACGAAAGCAAGGCAGCACCACCAAACCCUCCAGCCUCAUAUUCAAUCUAACUGAACUGUGGACUGAAGACAGCUCAAGACCGUCAAACCUCCACAUCACAAACGGUUCCUCCAAGGCUGUAGGGAUCUACUUGAGCCUUCAUAAUAGCCAACAGUAGCAGCCAUAUUUGCUAGGUGCUUUCUAUGCCCCAGACACUCACUGGGUUGACACCUACAUCUAUUCUAAUUCUCAAACCAGGCAAAUCGGAUAGGAUCCACUAUUACUCCCAUUUUACAUAUAAGGAAAGUGAAACUCCAAGAGGUAACUUGCCCAGGACCCCAGCACUAAUAAGUGGGAUUGUGGGAUUCAAACCCAGAGGGCUUGACUAGCCACCCCUAGACUUAGUUUAUUUAAACCAGGGAGCAGACUACACCUGAAGGCUCAAUCCAGCUCACUGCCCAUUUUUUAUGGCCAGAAAGCUCAGAAGAGUGGUUAUUUUUAAAUGACUAGAAAAAACCCCAAAAGAAUAAUAAUAUUCGGUAACACGUGAAAAUUAUAUGAAAUUCAAAUUUCAGUGUACAUGAAAGUUUUAUUGGAACACAGCCAGGCUCCUGUGUUUAUGUGCUAUCUAUGGCGGCUUUCAGGCUACAACAGCAGAGUUGAGUUGUUGUGAUAGAUACCGCCGUGUGAUCUGCAGAGCUCAAAACUGACUCUCUAGCCAUUUAUCCUUUCUCCAGUCACAGAGAAUCUGGUCCUCAAUCUUUCUGACUGCUUCACGCUGAGAAGGGGCAUUGUGGGAUAAUGACGAAGAACGAAAACGUCAUGCCUAUAGCUGAAGUACUCACAAGUGCCUGGCUGGCAUCCAGCUUGAUGGAACAUGGUAAUAUGGGUCCUUUUAUCUUGGUUUUAGAGCAACAUUUCAAGCCAUGCUAAGAUGAUUAAUAACAUAGAUAACAUCCGGAUGCGGUGGCUCACACCUGUAAUCCUAGCACUUUGGGAGGCCGAGGUGGGUGGAUCACAAGGUCAAGAGAUCGAGACCAUCCUGGCCAACAUGGUGAAACUCCAUCUCUACUAAAAAUACAAAAAUUAGCUGGGCAUGGUGGCAUGUGCCUGUAGUCCCAGCUACUCGGGAGGCUGAGGCAGGAGAAUUGCUUGAAUCCAGGAGGUGGAGGUUGUAGUAAGCCAAGAUCACGCCACUGCACUCCAGCCUGGCAACAGAGCAAGACUAUGUCUCAAAAAAAAAAAAAAAUAAUAAUAAUAAUAAUAAUAGCCAGUGUGGUGGCACACGCCUGUAAUCCCAGCUACUCGGGAGGCUGAGGAAGGAGAAUCGCUUGAACCCGGGAGGUGGAGGUUGCAGUGAGCCGACAUCACGCCACUGCACUCCAGCCUGUGUAAUGGGAGCAAGGCUCCAUCUCAAAAACUAAAAAUAAAAAAUAACAUAGAUAAUAAAAAUUUUAAAAAUACCACAGAAUAUGGAGUGGAUCCCUUGGGAAAUCCAAGAGAAGACUCAGAGUUCUGUGUUCUCUGUAUGGUUUCUUAUUUCAGGUCUUUGGCUGGGCUUUGAAUACUAACUUAAGGCCGUAGAAGGGUUCACACAACCAUGAGUGUUUCCUCUAGAGGGAUCCAAGAGGGACUAGUUUUACUCCAGUACGAGACAGGACCUCCAGACUAAAGUCAGAUCCAACUGCGCUGGAUGUUUUACUUGGAGCCAACCAGAUGACUUCUAUGAACAAUAGGGAUGUCUUCCUGGUUUGGUGGCCUUGACUCUGGCUUAAGCUGUUCCUUGGAGCAAGUGGGCAGCAAUGUGGCCACAUCUCAAGUGUGCUCAUAAAUGGCACAGAAAAGGGGAAGAGUUCCCUAACGGUGAGAUAAAGGAGACUGAAGCCAGUAUGAAAUUCUUAAUAUCAGAGAAUGAGGGACUUCAAAAUCUUUGUAGUGACCUCAGAGAUACGUAGGAAGCAUCAGAGCUUCAGAUAUGGCAGCAAACUACAAGUUAUUGGCAUCAAUUACAACAGAAAGGCAGAAAUGAGCGUUCCUGAAGCAAGAAAGCAAGCACUGCAGGAUCGGUUGCAGGACCGGCAGCUAUUGGCAUCAAUUACAACAGAAAGGCAGAAAUGAGCGUUCCUAAAGCAAGAAAGCAAGCACUGCAGGAUGCGUUUUAGGACUGGCAGCUAUUGGCAUCAAUUACAACAGAAAGGCAGAAAUGAGCGUUCCUAAAGCAAGAAAGCAAGCACUGCAGGAUGCGUUUUAGGACUGGCAGCUAUUGGCAUCAAUUACAACAGAAAGGCAGAAAUGAGCAUUCCUAAAGCAAGAAAGCAAGCACUGCAGGAUGCAUUGCAGGACUGGCAGCUAUUGGCUUCAAUUACAGCAGAAAGGCAGAAAUGAGCGUUCCUAAAGCAAGAAAGCAAGCACUGCAGGAUGUGUUUUAGGACUGGCAGCUAUUGGCAUCAAUUACAACAGAAAGGCAGAAAUGAGCAUUCCUAAACCAAGAAAGCAAGCACUGCAGGAUGUGUUUUAGGACUGGCAGCUAUUGGCAUCAAUUACAACAGAAAGGCAGAAAUGAGCGUUCCUAAAGCAACAAAGCAAGCAUUGCAGGAUCGGCUGCAGGACCGGCAGCGAGUCCUGAAGUCAACACAUUCAGGGAGGCCAGAGGUUCCCAUCCACACUGCAUCCCCUCCAUUCGGGUGGUACCCAUCAUGCUUCCGUGUUCCACGAUGAGUACAUGGGUUUUUGUGACAUAAUUUCAUCACAGCAAUAAAUAGAUAGUCCAAUGAAGUUUUAAAACACAAGUUUCCAGUUGGCCACUGAAGGCAUAUUGCUCAGACUUCUAAAGUAGAAGGAACAAUUAGCUUUGAUGAAAAUGAAAUCUACAAACUACAAACACCAGAUACCAUCCAGGAGCUCAAGCAAAAGAGAAGUCAGGAUACUGAUGACCAUCCCCUGCUCUGACAGCACUUGAGAACUAUCGAGGAAAAUAAGCCAUUAGACUCCAGCACAAUGGCGACCCCACAGGGAAGUGCAGGGUCCCCCCAGGUUGUCACCAUCACCACGGCUCACGUUUAUUGAGCCCUUAUCAAUAAGAGCCUGCCACUGUUCCAGGUGCUUUGCAAGAAAUAGUUGCCUAAAAGUUUACAAUAACUCUAUAUUAUCAUCCUCAUGUUACAGAGAUGUGGAUAAGAUGUGGCACAGAGAAGUGACUUGCCCAAGGUUUCCUGGCUCUGCUCUGAAUCUCGGCAGUAUUACUUCAGGUACCCUGUCCUUAACCUACCUGAUACAUGCUUUACAAAUAUUAACCCACCUAAUCCUCAAGACAACUAUGAGACUGAUACUACUAUUAUACCCAUUUUAAAGAUUAGAAACCUAGGCACAGAGAAGCUCAUUAAAUUGUUGAGCAUUACAGACAUGACAGGAGGGGCCCUGAACACAAACCCAGGGUACCAGAAAGAGAUCCUGAAACUGGUGAUGGCUUCUGAGACCUACUAGAUGAGUUGGAAACCCGGAGACUGGAUAUUACAAGGGCACUCAGGGCAGGGAGAAGAGAGGGAAGAGAGAGCAGGGAGGAGCAGACACAGCUGACAUGGCUGGGGGAGAACCCCACCCCAUUGAAGCUCAGGUACACGGGGCCUACUGAAGUCUGUGAGCAAACUUACUUGCCCACAGGGUGGGCAGGAUUGCCGAGGGCCAGCCCAAUUCCAGGCCAUCAGGUGUGCAGACCCCGCUGAAGGACUGCAGAAAACAUGGAAAGGAACUCUGCUGGACUCCGGGCCUCCAAAUGAGUACCAGACAGCAAAUGUAAAAAAAAAAAAAAGAUCUUCAGAAAGGCUGUUACAUGCAUUUAAAGAAAAGAAAAACAGGCUUAGCAAACCAUGGCCACCCCACGCUGAGAAAGUAUGGUGAGACCCAAUGGAUGGAAACUACUGGAAGGCUGAUUUAGACUUGAUUGAACAGCGUCUUCCGGAGGAUUAGCAGUGCCAGAGUAGAUACCAUUGAACUAGAGUGUGUGAAUGGCAAGGAGGUUUCACCUCUGAAUCGGGGGAAGACAGAAUGUUUUCCCCAUUGGAGAAGUCAGCGACCAUAUUUCCACUAUGGAGGAAUCCAAGAACGGUCCGGCUUGGAUGGCACAAUCCACAUGGUUCUGCAUGACCUGCCACAGCUCCACAUCCAUGGGGACCAACCAGGGCCUGGGCAGCUGCUGGGCUCUCUUCUGAUGUGGACAGUGUCUUGCUCUGUCACCCAGGCUGGAGUGCAGCGGCACAAUCAUAGCUCACUGCAGCCUCAAACUCCUUCAAGGGAUCCUCCCCACUCUGCCUCCCAAAGCAUGAGGAAUAGAGACAUGAGUCAUUACUCCCAGCCAUUGUAAACUUCAUCUCCUUUAACACUUCCAAUAAUUGCAGGACAGACCAGAUAAUGGUUCUUCCUAUCUAUUGCUUCAAGUUUCAUUCUCAUUUUAAGUGAUUUAAGGUUGGCUUCUGUGAUUCUUCCUUAAAGUAAUGUUAAAGGUGUGACUUCAGUUUCAUUUAGAGUUCAUAAGAUGACUCUAAAUGACUAGCCAAGAUGACACAUUCAUCUGGAACCCCAGGGAAGACGGAAGUAAAACCCUCCUUUUUCUCCUAAAUAUCCCAAAAGGUUGGGUGCCCUAGGUCCAAGGGAUCUGCAAGCCUCCUAAAGAAAUUUCCAUUGUCCCUCCCGGCUGGUGUGAAUUGUAAUCUGGUAUCUAUAUCCCAGGAACAUUUAACAAACAUUAAAGAAACACCAUAAAGCUAACAAGCUGUUACCAACUGUGAAGUCAUUAGCUAGAGGAAUCUUGGAUUGUCCAAAAGACUGAAAAAGCCCAGGCAGAUCCCAUCUCUUCCUCAUAACUGUUCCACUGGAAAUUGUCAUUUUUCACAGGAGACUUUUCGUUUUUUUGGUGACAAGGUCUGGCUCUCUGUCACCGAAGCUGGAGUGCAAUGGCACCAUCUUGGCUCACUGCACCCUUGACUUCCCAUACUCAGGUGAUUGUCCCACCUCAGCCUCCUGAGUAGUUGGGACCACAAGAAUGCACCACCACGCCUAGCUAACUUUUUCUUUUAUUUAUGUAUUUUCAGAUAGGGUCUUACGCUGUUGCCCAUGCUGGAGUGCAGUGGUGUGAUUAUGGCUCACUGCAGCCUCCAACUCCUGGGCUGAAUCUAUCCUCCUACCUCAUCCUCCCGAAGUGCUGGGAUUACAGGCAUCAGCCACCAUACCUUGCCUUAAUUUUUAAAAAUUCUUUGUAGAGAUGGAGGUCUCUCUACAUUGCCCAGGCUGGUCUUGAAUUCCUGGGCUCAUGCAAUCGUCCUGACUCAGCCUCCCAAAGUGCUGGGAUUACGUGCACGAGCCAUCAUGCCCUGCCUUAAUUUUUAAAAAUUAACUGUAGAGACAGGGUCUCCCUCUCUUGCCCAGGUUGACCUUGAACUCCUGGGCUCAAACUAUCCUCCUGCCUCAGCCUCCCAAAGUGCUGGGAUUGCAGGCAUAAGCCACUACACCCAGCCUAACAUGAGGCAUUCUUUUUAUUUUUUUUUGAGACAGGGUCUCACUCUGUCAUACAGGCAGGUGGGUGGUGACAGCGACCAUGACCACGGGUCAACCUGGGCCUCAGACACUGGGGAAAGGUGGCCAUGUCCAGUUUUCUCAGGAAAUUAGGAGGCAGGUCAUCCGAGGAGAGAGGGUGUGUCUGGGGUAGGGUGGAGUAGCUUUCAGAAAAGUGUAAGUCUGGCAAAAGCACUCAGGAAAAUGGGACAGAAAAUGAGCCAAGCGCUGGAUGGCAGCGUUCAUUCAGCCCAGCUGAGCUUGGAGGCCAUGAAAUGCUGGCAGCCCCACACUGCAAGACUGCAGGGUCUUUCUGGGCCACGCCCCGAAUCCCAGGUAUGGAAGUGAAGGACCCAAAAAGAGGAACGAAUCAGGCUGUUAUUCUGCAGAACAGGUGAAAGAAAAAAGCCAAGUAGACAGAGCCUUGGAAGUCAAAGAGUCACCCACAUGCCUGACCCAGUCAGAAGAAAGGGGACCAAGCCAGGGCGGGAGGGACUGUGUGGGAAAGAGGAGGCUGAAAGGAGGAGAGACCGCGGGCAGAGGUGGACAAGGGACCAAGGUGAAGACCUUUGAGGUGCUUCUUGAACCACAGUGGUGAAUGUCUUUCUGGACAAGAGUGCCAGUGCCCACCGCCAUCACAGGACACAGCCCCAUCCGCACUCCCGGGACAGCAACAUCUCAUUGUCCCAAACUCUGCCAAUUUCAUCAGUGAAAAGUGGAGCCUGGAAGCUUUGCAUUUCUUCAAUGACUUCGAAUUUUUUAAAAUGGUCUCACAGAUUUCCUGGUCAUCGGUAUUUCAUCUGAAAAGUCUCUUUCUGUGAUAUCUGCUCAUUAGAGCGGAGUUCUUAAAAUUAUUAGAGAGUGUUAUACAUUCAGUAUAUUCACCUCUGUGGUGGUUGCUCUCAGUUUUGUCCAGUUAGUCAUUCAUCAUAAAUUUAACUUUGAUAUCAUAAUAAAACAGACAAAAGUGUAGUUAUUAUGUGCUUAAAUCUACAGGUGCUUUUUUAAAAAGUUCUUUUUAGAGACAGGGUUUUGCCCUGUCGCCCAGGCUGGAGUGCAGUGGCGCGAUCUUGGCUCACUUCAGCCUCCACCUCUUGGGUUCAAGCCAUCCUCCUGCCUCAAACUCCAGAGCAGCUGGGACUACAGGUGAAAAUAUCACAAUUAUAUGUUAGAGAGAGAGAGAAUGAAUCAUUGUAAAACAAUGAAAAGGUGAAGAAUGUCUGUUACCUGUGUAAGUAACAUCUACAUCAACCCUCACCUGAAGUUCCUCACCUCUUCCCUUGCUCUUUUCUUCAGCCCAAACACGGUGUUCAACGUUCUUCCCAGUCACCGCCCAAGGCCGCUGUCUUAGCCCUGCCGUCAUCACCUCUCUGAGCCUACUGCAGUAGCUUCCUAUCUGGGUUCCCUUUCCAUUCCUCCCGGGUCCCGACUCCAUCGGCUGCCAGUUGACUUCCCACAGCACCAACUUUUCUCAGCCUUCUGCCUAUGAGAGCUCCCCAAAUUCUACCACGGGAGCCCUCAAACCAUGAUCCUCCCCAAAACGUGAACAGCAGCUUCUCGAACCAUGGACAGAUGGCACAGAUGACAACCGAAGCCAAUCACCACUGCCUGUCCCUGGAAGUGGACGCUCCGGGUCAUGGGUGGCCAUGUAUCUCGGUCCUGCUAUCCUGGGUGGUUGGAGGAAUUCUAGCAGUGAGAGUUGAAAACCGCUCGGCGCGCGGCAAGAGAGGAUGAAGCCCGAGUCUGACCUGGGAAGGGAGCUGCUCCCCGGGCAGUGGACCCCAGGGCUGGCGGGGAGGCGGCCUCGGUCAGCCCAGUUGGUCUCGGGCCGCUGGGCCUCAGCCCCCAAGCCUGGUGCCCGCUGGCCCCGGAGGAGCUGUCCCGCCCCCUCCGGCACUCGCCUUCCGGGGCUUGGUCGGCUAGCUGCUUCACGCGCGCGGGCUGGGGGCCCCAACGGCGGACGAGCGCUGCUCCCACCGCUCCAGCGCCCAGACUGUAGCGGCUCCGCCUCCGCGGUCCGUUGGCCCCGCCCCCACGUCUCUUCCGGGGCCCCGCCCACCCCCUUCGGGCCCGCCCAGCACGGCCUCCCCUUGUGGCCUGGAGCCCCAGGCCGAGGGCGCAGAGACCAGAAGGCCGAGCUGGGCGGCGACCCCCGUUCUUGCCCGGUCACUUCCUGCGGCGCCGCCUGCCCGCUGGCAAACUGUGGCUGGGAGACCCUUUAAAUAGAACGUAUUAGCCAAAACUAGAAGAGCAAAAUAUGUACCAUGUUUCAAUUUAAUGGGAUUGCCAGGUGUUUUAAGGGUCCGCCGCAACGGUCCCUCGAGUCCCGGGGUUUUUGUCCCCAUCAGAUCAUUCGUGGUGUGGAUCUUCCGGGAGGUUAUGGGAAAGGGAGACCAGCAGCCGGCUCCGUGGGCGGCCAUACUGCUCCCCCAGGAAGGCCAGGCAAAUCUUCAGUGCUGGGAUCCCCCUAGUACGUUCAUUUUGUCUAGGGUCCAGGUGGGGCCAUCGAGCCCCUUGCCCACAGGAUUGGUCCUUUGGCAUGCAGAUAAGCAACACCGCCAAGAAAAGCCCAUGGGGUCUUUAGGCUGUUAGGAGACCACCAGGGAGCCAUUCCUAAAUCUUCCCAGGUGAUGGUUCCAAAAACCCUGGUGUUUGGGGAAAGGAAAAAGGGUUAUCCACAGGACUAUGCUGGAACACUUUCCCAAACAGUGUCUGCCUGGCUGUCCCAAGCAGCCGGUGAUGGAGCGAUGGUCAUGAGGCUAGACCAAAGACCACAGAGUCUAGCCUCACUCUAGUGGAACUCAGGCACCCACCCGUUAGGAUGUCGUGUUGCUGCUGCCCCCAGGUGGGAGCCUGGGAAACCACCUGGCCGACACGGGCCACACCUGAUGGGACCUCACAAGGAGAUACAGUCCAUUAACGUUCGUCAGGGUGGGAAGAAGUGGCAACACCUACUGAGAUAACAAAACUCAUUAGCUGAAGGGCAAGCUGGCCAGCAACUGGCAGUGAUGUUCUCAAUAGUCCUGGCCGCCUUAUAAAACCAGCUACUUAGGCCGGGCACGGUGGCUCACUCCUGUAAUCCCAGCACUUUGGGAGGCUGAAGUGGGUGGAUCACAAGGUCUAGGAGUUCAAGACCAACCUGGCCAGUAUGGUGAAACCCCGUCUCUACUAAAAAUACAAAAAUUAGCCUGGUGUGGUGGUGGGCGCCUGUAGUCCUAGCUACUUGGGAGGCUGGGGCAGGAGAAUCGCUUGAACCCGGGAGGAGGAGGUUGCAGUGAGCUGAGAUCGCGCCACUGCACUCCAGCCCGGGAGACAGAGCAAGACUCCGUCUCUAAAUAAAUAAAUAAACAAACAAACAAAACCAGCUACUUAGUAAAGGAGCAGCUAGUUAAAGCUAACCAGGGGUCCUCAAUCAAGGAUGGGCCACACUGUUUGUGAUGCCAAUCGUUUUAUUCACACUCUUUACUCCAUUGAUGAAAGAGGGAUUCCUUCCCCCCACGCUCCUGCCCCCGCCCCUGUCCCCACCCCCAGAGAUACGGGGAUGGCCGAACACACAACACUUGAUGCAGGACGGAUGCAAUCAACAGCAGCUGACUGGUCACAGAUACUCCAGUCCAGGGGAGAAGGACCCUGCACACUAUGCAGGGCAAUGUGGAGGCUACACUCCGGAACACGGUAACAAGGAGGGGCUGCUGGAGGCAGGCUUUGUAGUAACAAAAGUGCAGAGUGAGCCCUGGUUCCCACGGGAGGGUGUGACUGGCUUGUCUGAAUAAUUCGUCCUUGAGCUGGCAGGGAACUGAAGCCUACUGUUUGGGGAUAAGCAGGCUCUGUGUCUGAUCCCUAAAAUAAGGAGAGUGUUUAGCCAGAGAAUUUCAUCUGCGGAAGCAGACAGGGAGCGAGGCUUGGAGUUCAGCCAUUUGAGGCCCUCUUGAUUUAAAUGGAUGUAAAGACAGAAUUUGAUAUGAAUCCUAAUUUCAGGCCUUACACCACAAUACACUAUUAAAAAGUAAGUUUUCCGAGAACUAGUCAUUGAGUUCAGUGUCACAAGAUUUUAAAUAAACAUUCUAAACUCAACUGUGGCAUAGUGGUUCACGCCUGUAAUCCCAGCACUUUGGGAGGCCAAGAUGGGAGGAUUGCUUGAGCCAGAGGUUCGAGACCAGCCUGGGUAAGAUGGUAAGGCCCUAUCUCUACAAAAAAAAUAUAUAAAUUAGCCAGGUAUGGUGAUGAGAGCCUGUGGUCCCAGUUCCAUGGGAGGCUGAGGUGGGAGGACCACUUGAGGCUAGGAGGUCAAGGCUGCAUUGAGCCAUAUUCACGCUGCUGGGCUCCAGCCUGGGUGACAGAGUGAGACCUCAUCUCAAAAAAUAAAGAAAGAAGAUAAUUUCACCUAUUGCUUAACAUAGAAAAUGGGAGCCCUCAGAAUGAGACUCCCUUAACUUCCCCAAGAAACUUAACCAUCCUUUUUUACUCUUACAGUUGUGAAUGUCCUCCAGUAAAGACCACAUGAAACACUUUGUAGUUAAGCAAGUUGGGUUUAUUACUUGUUGCAAGGAGGGAAGACUCACACCAUGAGGAGCCUAUCAGUAAGAGGAUGUUAGACCUUUAGGAUCUGGGCUUUGGCUGGGUGAUUUGGGGGAGGGUCCAGGGGUUUGCUCUGGAUCGAGUGCUGAUAGGAGGUAGGAAAAUUCUAUCAUCCGGUAGCGGUAUCUUUUCUAGAAAGAGGUUUGGCUGGAGUAGGGCUAAAGCUACAAUGUGUAAAGAAGCCACAGUCACUCCUAUCAGCUGGGAGAAGGGAAUGUCUGGUAUUCUGUGGGUGGCACAGUGACCUUGCUUUUGUCCUUACACAGAAUGAUGACGUGGUCUCGUGUCAUCUCCUAUCAUCACCACUGCAGAGUGUCCUUGUGUGAGUGGUCUGCAUGAUUGUUUAUGUCCAAUAGGAGAACAACAUGGCCUUGUUGUGGGCACCAGCCAGCUUCCAAAAACAUACGGCCUGGCUCACAGCACCAGGCAAGCUCCUAGAAGUCAGUUUUGCUUUUCUGUUUUUCACAGUGGAGGAGGUGAGCCUUAAAGAGAUCGAUAAGGGUUUGCCCGGCAGAAGAAAACAGCGUGAGCAGAGGCAUGGAGUCUGCAGUAGAACUGCAUGUUAGGUGAACCUGAUAUAGGGUCAGGAGGGGUAGCAGGAGAGAUUUCUGGACAGGCUUUCACACAGUGAAUCGUGGAAGCUCCCCCAAAUCACCCAGCCAAAGCCCAAAUUAUAAAGAUCUAACAUCCUCUUACUGAUAUGUUCCUCAUGGUGUGAGUCUUCCCUCCUUGCAACAAGUAAUAAACCAAACUUGCUUGACUACAGAGUGUUUCUGGUGGUCGUUACUGGAGGACAUUCACAACUGUAACAGUGAAAAAGGAUGGUUAAGUUUCUUGGGGGAAGUUAAGGGAGUCUCAUUCUGAGGGCUCCCAUUUUCUAUGUUAAGCAAUAGGUGAAAUUAUCUUAUUUAUUUUUUGAGUACAAGUUUUAUCCUGAGGGAUUUGAAGUGAGGAACUGACAUGACCUGGGUUUGCAUUUCAGAAAAAUCCCCAGCAGCUGCGUGGGAGAAGGCUUGGUGACAAAGGGGAAGCCUCCUUUUCUUUCCCACACCCACAGCCCCUGCACCUGCUGUCCUCGCUCAUCCGAUCUAUUGCAACACAUCCUUAUUCUACCUUUGGCCAGGGUGAUUUUUCAGAAUCACAGAUCUUUUCCUGUAACUUCCUUAAAACCUUUUGAUUCCCAAUCAAUUACCAGUGAAAAAUCUGCACUUCAUUGCCUGACACACAAACUGUACCUUUCAUCAUCUGUUCCCUCUAGCCUGGUAUCUGGCUUUGCAUUAGUUAAUUCUUGCACUGCUAAAAAGAAAUACCUGAGACUGGGUAAUUUAUAAAGAAGAAAUGUGUGUGUGGUUUGUUUUUUGUUUUGUUUUGUUGUUGUUGUUGUUUUUGAGACAGAGUUUCGCUCUUGUUGCCCAGGCUGGAGUGCAAUGGUGCAAUCUCAGCUCACUGCAACCUCCG